RNAcentral lists this ribosomal RNA (315 nucleotides) under Triticum aestivum (bread wheat). RNAcentral's name for it is "partial small subunit ribosomal RNA". Lineage: Eukaryota; Viridiplantae; Streptophyta; Magnoliopsida; Poales; Poaceae. The record is from RNAcentral.
AUGUUUCGUCCCAGAGCUCUCCCCAUGGCGAUGCUCUCCUCUGGUGUGGCGUCAUCGAGCUCGUGGGUGGUGGUGGUUGUGGUGGUUGGCCGGCAGGUGGUCGUCUGCCUGUCCAACGUGCUCCUGGUGGUGGCGGCUUAUGGUGAGGUCACCGUUGCCGAAGGAUUUUGGUCGCUCGUUUCUUCUCCAUCCAAUAAAUCUUUUCUUGAUGUUGAUUUGUUUGGGAAUGGGCGGCGUGUACCUCCUGCUGAUCUGUGGAUCGAGCGGUGUCUCGACCUUCCCCUCCAGUGGUGGCAGCGUCGGAUGGAGAAGUGA